CUGAAAUUUGAAAAAAUUCAGUGAAUCAUCGAGUCUUUGAACGCACAUUGCGCCCCCUGGUAUUCCGGGGGGCAUGCCUGUCCGAGCGUCAUUGCUGCCCUCAAGCACGGCUUGUGUGUUGGGCCCCCGUCCCCCUCUCCCGGGGGACGGGCCCGAAAGGCAGCGGCGGCACCGCGUCCGGUCCUCGAGCGUAUGGGGCUUUGUCACCUGCUCUGUAGGCCCGGCCGGCGCCAGCCGACACCCAACUUUAUUUUUCUAAGGUUGACCUCGGAUCAUGUAGGGAUACCCGCUGAACUUAAGCAUAUCAAUAAGCGGAGGAAAAGAAACCAACAGGGAUUGCCUCAGUAACGGCGAGUGAAGCGGCAAGAGCUCAAAUUUGAAAGCUGGCCCCUUCGGGGUCCGCGUUGUAAUUUGCAGAGGAUGCUUCGGGUGCAGCCCCCGUCUAAGUGCCCUGGAACGGGCCGUCAUAAAGGGUGAGAAUCCCGUCUGGGACGGGGUGUCUGCGUCCGUGGAAGCUCCAUCGACGAGUCGAGUUGUUUGGGAAUGCAACUCUAAUGGGUGGUAAAAUUUCAUCUAAAGCUAAAUACCUGGCCGGGAGACCCGAUCGCGCACAGUAGAGUGAUCGAAAGAUGAAAGCUCUUUGAAAAGAGAGUAAACACAAGUGAAAUUUGUUGAAAGGAAACCGUUUGCAACCUGACUCUCCCACAGGGGUUCACCCGGCAUUCAUGCCGGUGUACUUCCCCGUGGACGGACAAGCGUCGGAUUGGGCUGUCGGUCAAAGCCCACAGAAUGGAAAUAGCUCGCAGAGCGUGCCUUAUAAAGCAAG
Molecule: ribosomal RNA, 826 nt
Filed under: Aspergillus lentulus
Lineage: Eukaryota; Fungi; Ascomycota; Eurotiomycetes; Eurotiales; Aspergillaceae
Description: eukaryotic LSU rRNA
Rfam family: Eukaryotic large subunit ribosomal RNA (bases 263-826)
Source: RNAcentral